UUGUUUGCUUCUAUGUGAAGUUCAACCUGUACACAGAUCAUACAAUAAUAAUAAUAUAAAUUGUCUGAUACUAAUCUGUAUCGAAGAGGAUACUAUGGGCACGUAGGAGUUAACUGCGAGGUUCACGUCGCGGGUUUACGACACGUCAAUUGCUAUUGAGGACGAGGCAGUGGGACACUAGAUGUGCACUUGAUCGUCAGGAUCUCACAAGUUUCAUGGCAAUAAAGAAACUUCCAGGACAUUAAUCCUUCAUAAAAUUACGCGACCGGAAUAUCACUACUAUUGACAGCUGCUACUCGGAAACAACACGUACCUAGAGAUAAUUCGGGUUUGAUAAAACCAAGCUCAAGUGCAUUAGCGCCGCAAAGUGUAUCGUGUAUUGACGUACACAUAAGACGAGAUGUUUAUGUUCAGAUGUAUUUUACACAAAGAAACAUCGCAUGUCAGUUUUGCGAGUGCACUUUACUCCUCUAUAUGCAUCAACUAGCCGAGAAAGUAGAGAUAAGUGUGCCACGAAGAAGCGAUGCUUCCUUUCUAAAGAUAAAUAUCUGCCUCAUCACCUCUAAAAAUAGCGAAUCAAUACGUCUAGCCAAUCAACAACCUUUGUCUUCCGCACACUCUAAAGACAUGGGUGCAUAAACAUGGAAAAACUUUUAUCCCCUACCUACUCGAUCUUUUUUCUUCAGUUUUAUUGAAAGUGGCAUAUAACAUUCCUUUGUUACUUUAUAAAGAAUGUAUCUGUAUAUAUA
Molecule: long non-coding RNA, 749 nt
Organism: Hylaeus volcanicus
Lineage: Eukaryota; Metazoa; Arthropoda; Insecta; Hymenoptera; Colletidae
Exons: 3
Source: RefSeq, a predicted model, not a curated record